This is a long non-coding RNA of Galeopterus variegatus (Sunda flying lemur), 686 nucleotides long. RefSeq lists it as uncharacterized. NCBI's taxonomy places the organism in Eukaryota, Metazoa, Chordata, Mammalia, Dermoptera, Cynocephalidae. The transcript is spliced from 3 exons. The record is from RefSeq and is a predicted model, not a curated record.
UGGUUCCCCAUCUGUACAAUGGACCUUUGGGUUUGAUGCCUGAGGCUUGGUCUGGAGAUGAUUUCACCAAUUACUCCCAGAGUGACUCACAAGAUGUGGCAGCCACCCUGCCCCCAUGAGGCAAUGAGCUGGAGGUGAAAAGCCACCACCCAAAGAGUGGCAGAGCAAGAAGACAGGAGGAACCUGCGCCCUGAUGCCAAAGAGCUGUGGUGCCAACCUCCAACGUUCUUGUCGAGAGGUGGCCAAUGUCUGCGGCAUCUAAGUUACUGUUGUUUGGAUUUCUGGUGACCUGUAGCUGCAUAUCUCCCUAACUCACUCAGCCACCCUGUGGAAGGGCUGCUGAGGUGCCCAAAGCCUGGACCUUGGGAAAGCCACAUCCUGCAUCUGAGCUGCACAAGUGUCAACUGCGUCUUGUGUGUGAGCACUGCCACCACCAAGUAAACACCUCCGUUCUGGCCGGCAUCACCUCUCAAGCAUGGGUUAUUCUAGACCGCGGUCACCCGCCAAAACUCAGCCAUCAUGACCUCCCGUGGACACUGCAUGUUCUCUUCCCAAUUCACUCCAUCUGCUCCACUUACAGUAAACAUGUUUAUAAAGGAGACUUACAUCCCCACUAUCAGUGAAACACCAGUGUUGCUUGUUAUAAAAUGUUAUAAAAUAAAGCUAUUGUUCCGUUUUCUCCUCUC